Molecule: ribosomal RNA, 361 nt
Filed under: uncultured bacterium
Lineage: Bacteria
Description: bacterial SSU rRNA
Rfam family: Bacterial small subunit ribosomal RNA
Source: RNAcentral
GCAGUGAGGAAUAUUGGACAAUGGGUUAGCGCCUGAUCCAGCCAUCCCGCGUGAAGGACGACGGCCCUAUGGGUUGUAAACUUCUUUUGUACAGGGAUAAACCUACCCUCGUGAGGGUAGCUGAAGGUACUGUACGAAUAAGCACCGGCUAACUCCGUGCCAGCAGCCGCGGUAAUACGGAGGGUGCAAGCGUUAUCCGGAUUUAUUGGGUUUAAAGGGUCCGUAGGCGGAUGCGUAAGUCAGUGGUGAAAUCUCACAGCUCAACUGUGAAACUGCCAUUGAUACUGCGUGUCUUGAGUGAGGUUGAAGUAGCUGGAAUAAGUAGUGUAGCGGUGAAAUGCAUAGAUAUUACUUAGAACAC